UACGUAGGGUGCAAGCGUUGUCCGGAAUUAUUGGGCGUAAAGAGCUCGUAGGCGGUCUGUCGCGUCGGCUGUGAAAUCCCGGAGCUCAACUCCGGGCCUGCAGUCGAUACGGGCAGACUGGAGUUCGGCAGGGGAGACUGGAAUUCCUGGUGUAGCGGUGAAAUGCGCAGAUAUCAGGAGGAACACCAAUGGCGAAGGCAGAUCUCUGGGCCGUAACUGACGCUGAGAAGCGAAAGCAUGGGGAGCGAACAGG
RNAcentral lists this ribosomal RNA (253 nucleotides) under uncultured bacterium. RNAcentral's name for it is "partial 16S ribosomal RNA". It matches the Rfam family "Bacterial small subunit ribosomal RNA", at positions 524 to 776 of the family's 1533-position model. The record is from RNAcentral.